Molecule: transfer RNA, 72 nt
Filed under: Ovis aries (sheep)
Lineage: Eukaryota; Metazoa; Chordata; Mammalia; Artiodactyla; Bovidae
Rfam family: tRNA
About the family: Transfer RNA (tRNA) molecules are approximately 80 nucleotides in length. Their secondary structure includes four short double-helical elements and three loops (D, anti-codon, and T loops).
Source: Rfam by way of RNAcentral
UCUCUGGUGGCUCAGACAGUAAAGAAUCUGCCUGCAAUGCAGGAGACCCAGGUUCGAUCCCUGGGUGGGGAA